This 198-nucleotide ribosomal RNA is filed under the name uncultured bacterium. Its description in RNAcentral is "partial 16S ribosomal RNA". It matches the Rfam family "Bacterial small subunit ribosomal RNA", at positions 328 to 539 of the family's 1533-position model. The record is from RNAcentral.
ACGCUCGACACCUACGGGAGGCAGCAGUGGGGAAUAUUGCACAAUGGGGGAAACCCUGAUGCAGCGACGCCGCGUGAGCGAAGAAGUAUUUCGGUAUGUAAAGCUCUAUCAGCAGGGAANAAACUGACGGUACCUGACUAAGAAGCACCGGCUAAAUACGUGCCAANAGCCGCGGUAAUCUGAGCGGGCUGGCAAGGC